GACGAACGCUGGCGGCGUGCUUAACACAUGCAAGUCGUGCGGAAAGGCCUUUUCGAAGGUGCUCGAGCGGCGAACGGGUGAGUAACACGUGAGUAACCUGCCCUGCGCUGGGGGGAUAACCCUCGGAAACGGGGCUAAUACCGGAUGGUCACAUUUUGCCGCAUGGUGGGGUGGUGGAAAGGGCUUCGGUUUGGCGUGGGAUGGGCUCGCGGCCUAUCAGC
Molecule: ribosomal RNA, 221 nt
Filed under: uncultured bacterium
Lineage: Bacteria
Description: partial 16S ribosomal RNA
Rfam family: Bacterial small subunit ribosomal RNA
Source: RNAcentral